This 144-nucleotide ribosomal RNA is filed under the name Hygrophorus discoxanthus. RNAcentral describes it as "5.8S ribosomal RNA". The stretch from base 1 to 118 matches the Rfam family "5.8S ribosomal RNA", at positions 37 to 154 of the family's 154-position model. Rfam says of the family: 5.8S ribosomal RNA (5.8S rRNA) is a component of the large subunit of the eukaryotic ribosome. Lineage: Eukaryota; Fungi; Basidiomycota; Agaricomycetes; Agaricales; Hygrophoraceae. The record is from RNAcentral.
UGAAGAACGCAGCGAAAUGCGAUAAGUAAUGUGAAUUGCAGAAUUCAGUGAAUCAUCGAAUCUUUGAACGCACCUUGCGCUCCUUGGUAUUCCGAGGAGCAUGCCUGUUUGAGUGUCAUUAAAUUCUCAAUCCUCCUUUAACAA